UUGUGCAGUAUUAUGUUGAUCCAUCCUCGGGCUGAAAGUUCAGAUCGAAGAAAGAAGUGCUUUACUAUCUAGAAACUGGAAUGCCCCCACCUUAAAAGAAGAAAGGAACAGAGACUUCUAGCGGUGAAGAUGUUGGUAAAGGGAACACUGGAGGCAACAAACAGAAGAAACCUGAUAAAAAGCCAAAGCCUUUGAACUCUGAUUUCGAUAACGUGCCGCAGAAAGUUGAUUGGUUGUUGACGUUUGGCUCUGAACACUGCUGGACUCCCUUCUUGGGGAGGACCGAGUGGCUGACCCUACUAGACAAGAUUGGGCCGCUGCGUUUGCAUCCGUAAUAGCCAGGAAAAACGGUCAAGCAAUGUAUUGAAGACAUUCGACACC
This is a long non-coding RNA of Hibiscus syriacus, 381 nucleotides long. RefSeq lists it as uncharacterized. The record is from RefSeq and is a predicted model, not a curated record. The transcript has 2 exons. Lineage: Eukaryota; Viridiplantae; Streptophyta; Magnoliopsida; Malvales; Malvaceae.